UACGGGGGGGGCAAGCGUUGUUCGGAAUUACUGGGCGUAAAGGGCUCGUAGGCGGCCAACUAAGUCCGACGUGAAAUCCCUAGGCUUAACCUAGGAACUGCGUCGGAUACUGGAUGGCUUGAAUUCGGGAGAGGGAUGCAGAAUUCCAGGUGUAGCGGUGAAAUGCGCAGAUAUCAGGAGGAACACCAAUUGCGAAGGCAGCUCGCUGGGACGUCACUGACGCUGAGACGCGAAAGCGUGGGGAGCGAACAGG
RNAcentral lists this ribosomal RNA (253 nucleotides) under uncultured bacterium. RNAcentral's name for it is "partial 16S ribosomal RNA". It matches the Rfam family "Bacterial small subunit ribosomal RNA", at positions 524 to 776 of the family's 1533-position model. The record is from RNAcentral.